This 1274-nucleotide ribosomal RNA is filed under the name Agrilus discalis. RNAcentral's name for it is "16S ribosomal RNA". The stretch from base 1034 to 1192 matches the Rfam family "Archaeal large subunit ribosomal RNA", at positions 2542 to 2701 of the family's 2987-position model. Lineage: Eukaryota; Metazoa; Arthropoda; Insecta; Coleoptera; Buprestidae. The record is from RNAcentral.
UUUUUAAAUAAUUAUUAAUUAAUUAUUUUUUAAAUAUAAGUUUUUUUAGUAUUUAAAUAAUUUUUUUUAUAAUAAUUUACUAUUACUGUGGAGGAAUUUUGAAAUAAUUGAAAUAUAUAUAAUAAUAAAAGAAGAAUUAAUUUUUUGUACCUUGUGUAUCAGGGUUUAUAAAUUAUUUAUUAUAGAUUUUAUUGGUCCCGAAUUUGAAUGAGCUAAGAAGUUAUUUAUUUUAAUGUUGAAAAAUUAUUUAAAAUAAUUUUUUAGAGGUGAAAUGUUAUUCGUAUUCAAUUAUAUCUGGUUUUUUUAGAAAAAAAUUUAAUUUUAUCAAUUUUUUCUAUUUUAUUAUUUUUAUAAAGUAUGUAAUUAAUUGUUUUAUAUUUUAAGGGAUUAUCUUUAAUUUAUAUAUUUAUAAAUUUUAAUUUAUUAAUGUGAUUUGUAGGAUUAGAAAUUUUUAUCAAAAAAUUUGUUUUAAUUUUUCAUAUAAUUAUUUAUUAAUUUUUAAUUUUUUAAGUUUUCUAUAAAAAUAUUUCUUUAAAUUUGAUUGGAAAGUAAUAAUGAUAUAAUUAGUAAAUAAGAGUUUAUGUUUAAAGGUUAAAUUAAAUUUGAAUUAAAGGAACUCGGCAAAUUUAGUUUCUGCCUGUUUAUUAAAAACAUGUCCUUUUGUGUAUUAUUUAAGGUCUGAUCUGCCCAAUGAUUAAUUAAAUGGCCGCGAUAUUUUGAUCGUGCGAAGGUAGCAUAAUCAUUAGUUUUUUAAUUGAAAGCUGGUAUGAAGGAUUUGACAAGAAACAAUCUGUCUCUAUUUUAUGUGUUGAAUUUUAUUUUUGAGUAAAAAAGCUUAAAUUGUUUUAUAAGACGAGAAGACCCUAUAGAGUUUAAUAUUUAAAAUUUUUAUUUAUUAUAUAGAAUUUGAAUUUUAAAAAUUUUAAUUAUUUAGUUGGGGUGACGGAAAAAUUAAUAGAACUUUUUCUUUUUAAAAUAUAGAUUUAUAGAAUUUUGACUUAUAGGAUUAGUUAGAAGAUUAAAUUACCUUAGGGAUAACAGCGUUAUUCUUUUUUAGAGUUCAAAUCGAAAAAAGAGAUUGCGACCUCGAUGUUGGAUUAAAGUUAAAAAUUGGUGUAGAAGCUAAUAUUUUUAGUCUGUUCGACUAUUAAAACUUUACAUGAUCUGAGUUUAAACCGGCGUGAGCCAGGUUGGUUUCUAUCUUUAAUAUUUUAAAAUAUUUUAGUACGAAAGGACCAAAUAUUUCUUAAAUUAAUUUAUUUUUGAUUAGUAAU